This is a long non-coding RNA of Cyprinus carpio (common carp), 496 nucleotides long. The record is from Ensembl. NCBI's taxonomy places the organism in Eukaryota, Metazoa, Chordata, Actinopteri, Cypriniformes, Cyprinidae.
GGAUGUUUCAGAAGGCUUCCACAUCUAAAACAGUGCAUACGAUUUGAAAACAGGGCUACAGCCAAGGAAUCAGGGUUUUGCUGGUUAGCAUGACCCCAUUUGGUAAAUGCUAUUACUACACCUUCAGGCUAUAAAAGGCAUGUUUCUCUACUGACUGACAUUCAAAAGUAGCAUGUUUUCUGGUGAAAUAAUAUUUUGACAGCAAUAUGUAUAUAUACAUAAAUAUUUUUUAUUUUACAGUGUCAGCAAACAAUCCAGAGAGACAACAGUAAGUGAUCAAAACAGCAAGUUUAUUGACAGGAGGAGCAGCAGGAUAAAAGGCAACAGUCCGAGGGUGAUCUAGAGGAGCAGUGGAGAACUGCAAAGAUGUCCCUGCCAACAUAAAGGCGGCCUUUUUCCGGAAAUGAUAGAGUUGUUCUACUUCCUGAAGACCUUGUAAUCCACUGGCGGCUGAAGACACAACAAUGGAAUGUUAAUAAAUAAAUAAAUAAAUACA